CCUACGGGAGGCAGCAGUGAGGAAUAUUGGUCAAUGGACGAGAGUCUGAACCAGCCAAGUAGCGUGAAGGAUGACUGCCCUAUGGGUUGUAAACUUCUUUUAUAUGGGAAUAAAAUGUUCCACGUGUGGGAUUUUGUAUGUACCAUAUGAAUAAGGAUCGGCUAACUCCGUGCCAGCAGCCGCGGUAAUACGGAGGAUCCGAGCGUUAUCCGGAUUUAUUGGGUUUAAAGGGUGCGUAGGUGGAUUGUUAAGUCAGUUGUGAAAGUUUGCGGCUCAACCGUAAAAUUGCAGUUGAAACUGGCAGUCUUGAGUACAGUAGAGGUAGGCGGAAUGCGUGGUGUAGCGGUGAAAUGCUUAGAUAUCACGAAGAACUCCGAUUGCGAAGGCAGUUCACUGGACUGCAACUGACACUGAGGCUCGAAAGUGUGGGUAUCAAACAGGAUUAGAUACCCUAGUAGUC
This 460-nucleotide ribosomal RNA is filed under the name uncultured bacterium. RNAcentral describes it as "partial 16S ribosomal RNA". It matches the Rfam family "Bacterial small subunit ribosomal RNA", at positions 338 to 795 of the family's 1533-position model. The record is from RNAcentral.